Molecule: ribosomal RNA, 514 nt
Filed under: uncultured bacterium
Lineage: Bacteria
Description: bacterial SSU rRNA
Rfam family: Bacterial small subunit ribosomal RNA
Source: RNAcentral
GAUGAACGCUAGCGGGAGGCUUAACACAUGCAAGUCGAGGGGCAGCAUAGGGUAGCAAUACUCUGAUGGCGACCGGCAAACGGGUGAGUAACGCGUAUGCAACCUACCCUGUACAGGGGGAUAACCCGGAGAAAUUCGGACUAAUAUCCCGUAAUAAUAUCCGGAGGCAUCUUUGGAUAUUUAAAGUUCCGACGGUACGGGAUGGGCAUGCGUAACAUUAGCUGGUUGGUAAGGUAACGGCUUACCAAGGCUAUGAUGUUUAGGGGUCCUGAGAGGGUGGUCCCCCACACUGGUACUGAGACACGGACCAGACUCCGUACGGGAGCAGCAGUGAGGAAUAUUGGUCAAUGGGCGCAAGCCUGAACCAGCCAUCCCGCGUGCAGGAAGACGGCCCUAUGGGUUGUAAACUGUCUUUUCCAGGGAGAGAAACUUACGCACGUGUUGCGUGACUGACGGUACCCUGGGAAUAAGCAUCGGCUAACUCCGUGCCAGCAGCCGACGGUAAACGUAGCGU